UUUGCCCACCCAAAAGCAAUAUCCCCUCCGAGCUAGGCUUCCGGCCGCCGCCGACCUGCACCCCCCUUAGUCCCUCCUCUUCCUCCGGCUUGAGCAGCGAGGGAGACGAUUGGAGUCAUCCCUCCGAGCUAGGGUCCGGCCGCCGCCGACGCGCGCCCCCGUAGCGAUCGGAAUGACCCCUACGAACUAGGGUUCCGGCUAUCGCCGACGCGCACCACCGUGUGGCCCAGCUAGUUGAUCUACGGGCAGGCUGAUACGGUAGAUCAGGCGCCGCACAGCGAGGUGACGAGCUGGUCGAUCGUCGGCCAGGUGGCCAAGCCCGCCGGCACAGCGCCUCUCAAACGGCAUCCCUGGUUGGCGGCGGAGUUAGAGCGGUGGACGUUGUGCCGUCACCCAGCGGCUGCACGCGCAGCCGAAGCACCGCUCCUCCUGCCGUAACUUGGGUUGAGUGGCCUUACGUCGCCAUCCCUGAGGAGAAAGAGCGCAGUCUGCUCGCUGGUCUUGUCGCGGCGUCGAGCUGGAAUCAGCAUUGGGGGUGAUCCAUGCUAUUACAUGGCAGUUAGAUUUCUGAGUCCCUAAUUUCAGUUUGUGUCUGCCAUUCAGGACUAUUCAGUUCAGAACAUGAUACUUGAUCAUGGUUCCAUAUCAUUUUGUAGAUUUCCUGCGGGGUCUUUGUCAUGGGAAAACAGAUCAGUAUUUGAACACAACAGACGUCACGAGGACAUAAGCAAACUCACCAUGCCUGGUUUAGUUGCACAAAAGAAGGCAUUUUUUGAAGAAUAAUACAAGAAGAAGGCUCAGAAAGCUAUGCAUCUCACUGAAGCACAAUCUGAAGAAAUGAGUGAUGACAGUACACUCUGCAGGCACGACGACAAAGCACAUGCAGUUAUUUCCCGAAGAUCCUAUGGUUACUGCUCCAAGCUACAUCUCUGAACCAUCUACUGCUCCAAGGUCUGAAAGUGAAACAGGAGCCAUAUAAAAUGACUUUCCUGGAGCGUACUAAAGAAAGCUUUCACAUUGUCUGUUUCUUCCUCUCUUGGUUGAUUUAUGCAUACCAGUAAAUUUAUCUGAAAAGUUAUAGAGAAUAUUGUUUCAUAUCAAGUGAAUAACACUCUGUCUAAUUGGCACACUUCAUAAUUUAUUUGUGUUAUCUAUUUCA
Molecule: long non-coding RNA, 1159 nt
Organism: Lolium rigidum
Lineage: Eukaryota; Viridiplantae; Streptophyta; Magnoliopsida; Poales; Poaceae
Exons: 2
Source: RefSeq, a predicted model, not a curated record